Molecule: ribosomal RNA, 656 nt
Filed under: Xanthomonas campestris pv. campestris
Lineage: Bacteria; Pseudomonadati; Pseudomonadota; Gammaproteobacteria; Lysobacterales; Lysobacteraceae
Description: bacterial SSU rRNA
Rfam family: Bacterial small subunit ribosomal RNA
Source: RNAcentral
ACAGUAAGAGCUUGCUCUUAUGGGUGGCGAGUGGCGGACGGGUGAGGAAUACAUCGGAAUCUACUCUUUCGUGGGGGAUAACGUAGGGAAACUUACGCUAAUACCGCAAACGACCUACGGGUGAAAGCGGAGGACCUUCGGGCUUCGCGCGAUUGAAUGAGCCGAUGUCGGAUUAGCUAGUUGGCGGGGUAAAGGCCCACCAAGGCGACGAUCCGUAGCUGGUCUGAGAGGAUGAUCAGCCACACUGGAACUGAGACACGGUCCAGACUCCUACGGGAGGCAGCAGUGGGGAAUAUUGGACAAUGGGCGCAAGCCUGAUCCAGCCAUGCCGCGUGGGUGAAGAAGGCCUUCGGGUUGUAAAGCCCUUUUGUUGGGAAAGAAAAGCAGUCGGUUAAUACCCGAUUGUUCUGACGGUACCCAAAGAAUAAGCACCGGCUAACUUCGUGCCAGCAGCCGCGGUAAUACGAAGGGUGCAAGCGUUACUCGGAAUUACUGGGCGUAAAGCGUGCGUAGGUGGUGGUUUAAGUCUGUUGUGAAAGCCCUGGGCUCAACCUGGGAAUUGCAGUGGAUACUGGGUCACUAGAGUGUGGUAGAGGGUAGCGGAAUUCCCGGUGUAGCAGUGAAAUGCGUAGAGAUCGGGAGGAACAUCCGUGGCG